GGGCGUCUCUUUCUCAUUACGAGUGGAGGCGCACCUAUAGCGUACACGCUGAUACCCGAAAGAUGGUGAACUAUGCCUGGCCAGGACGAAGCCAGGGGAAACCCUGGUGGAGGUCCGCAGCGAUUCUGACGUGCAAAUCGAUCGUCGGAGCUUGGUAUAGGGGCGAAAGACCAAUCGAACCAUCUAGUAGCUGGUUCCCUCUGAAGUUUCCCUCAGGAUAGCUUGCGCUCGGUUGAGACGAGUCUCAUCCGGUAGAGCGAAUGAUUAGAGGCCUUGGGGUCGAAACGACCUCAACCUAUUCUCAAACUCCAAAUAGAUGAGAUCCCCGGCUUGCUUGAAAGUGAAGCCGGGACUCGGAUCAGAGUGCCAAGUGGGCCAAUUUU
Molecule: ribosomal RNA, 383 nt
Filed under: Nabis apicalis
Lineage: Eukaryota; Metazoa; Arthropoda; Insecta; Hemiptera; Nabidae
Description: eukaryotic LSU rRNA
Rfam family: Eukaryotic large subunit ribosomal RNA
Source: RNAcentral